UCGAGGAUCAUUCGCAAUGCGCGAAAGCGUGACGGUGCGACGCCGCGUGAAGGAUGAAGGCCUUCGGGUCGUAAACUGCUGUCAUGAGGGAACAAUGUCCGGGAUGUUAACACCAUUUCGGGGUGAUAGUACCUCAAGAGGAAGCCACGGCUAACUCUGUGCCAGCAGCCGCGGUAAUACGUAGGGGGCAAGCGUUGUCCGGAAUUAUUGGGCGUAAAGGGUGCGUAGGCGGUUUGACAAGUCAGAUGUGAAAUAUCCGGGCUUAACCUGGAGGGUGCAUUUGAAACUGUCAGACUUGAGUGCAGGAGAGGAAAGUGGAAUUCCUAGUGUAGCGGUGAAAUGCGUAGAUAUUAGGAGGAACACCAGUGGCGAAGGCGACUUUCUGGACUGUAACUGACGCUGAGGCACGAAAGCGUGGGGAGCAAACA
This 428-nucleotide ribosomal RNA is filed under the name uncultured prokaryote. Its description in RNAcentral is "bacterial SSU rRNA". It matches the Rfam family "Bacterial small subunit ribosomal RNA", at positions 355 to 774 of the family's 1533-position model. The record is from RNAcentral.